AGAGAAGAUGCUGGGGAGAACCAGUCGUAGGAUAUCAGCCAUUGGAAGACCCGUUUGUUCAAGAUGGAUUCGAAAUGAAUUUAUACAAGGACACUACAGAACUGCUGUCGGCUUCUGGGUUGCCACUGUGAAAGACAGUUGGAGUUAUUUGAUGGACAAUCGAUUAUUUAUACAGUUCGCAGUUUGUUUUGAAUAAGCAAGGUCAGAUGACUUUCACACAGACACACAAUUUAGAGUCAAGAUGGAUUCGGUUAAUGGAAGACACCAGUGAAUCGGUUGCUGGUUUAAACUUUCAGUAGCCCAAAAGGGCUGCAUCGAUAUGUUGGAACCAGGUU
Mobula hypostoma (lesser devil ray) is the source of this 335-nucleotide long non-coding RNA. RefSeq lists it as uncharacterized. The record is from RefSeq and is a predicted model, not a curated record. Lineage: Eukaryota; Metazoa; Chordata; Chondrichthyes; Myliobatiformes; Myliobatidae. The transcript has 3 exons.